GUAUUUAUAGCUUAAUUAAGAGUAAAGCUUUGAAGAAGCUUAGGUGAAAUAAUUUCUAAAGACA
This 64-nucleotide transfer RNA is filed under the name Nymphon unguiculatum-charcoti complex sp. SEM-1997. Its description in RNAcentral is "tRNA-Phe". Lineage: Eukaryota; Metazoa; Arthropoda; Pycnogonida; Pantopoda; Nymphonidae. The record is from RNAcentral.